RNAcentral lists this transfer RNA (109 nucleotides) under Burkholderia orbicola MC0-3. Its description in RNAcentral is "tRNA-Cys (GCA) (tRNA-Cys-GCA-2-1)". Lineage: Bacteria; Pseudomonadati; Pseudomonadota; Betaproteobacteria; Burkholderiales; Burkholderiaceae. The record is from RNAcentral.
GACAGAGCGGUCAAUACGAAUGGUCAAUUUUUGCAACGUAUUGAUUUUAAAGAUGAUGUGACGGCCUGCAAAGCCGUUUAGGCCGGUUCGACUCCGGCUCGCGCCUCCA